Molecule: ribosomal RNA, 593 nt
Filed under: uncultured bacterium
Lineage: Bacteria
Description: bacterial SSU rRNA
Rfam family: Bacterial small subunit ribosomal RNA (bases 1-515)
Source: RNAcentral
CCUACGGGAGGCAGCAGUGGGGAAUCUUGCGCAAUGGGCGAAAGCCUGACGCAGCCAUGCCGCGUGAAUGAUGAAGGUCUUAGGAUUGUAAAAUUCUUUCACCGGGGACGAUAAUGACGGUACCCGGAGAAGAAGCCCCGGCUAACUUCGUGCCAGCAGCCGCGGUAAUACGAAGGGGGCUAGCGUUGCUCGGAAUUACUGGGCGUAAAGGGAGCGUAGGCGGAUAGUUUAGUCAGAGGUGAAAGCCCAGGGCUCAACCUUGGAAUUGCCUUUGAUACUGGCUAUCUUGAGUAUGGGAGAGGUAUGCGGAACUCCGAGUGUAGAGGUGAAAUUCGUAGAUAUUCGGAAGAACACCAGUGGCGAAGGCGGCAUACUGGCCCAUUACUGACGCUGAGGCUCGAAAGCGUGGGGAGCAAACAGGAUUAGAUACCCUGGUAGUCCACGCUGUAAACGAUGAGUGCUAGUUGUCGGCAUGCAUGCAUGUCGGUGACGCAGCUACGCAUAAGCACUCCGCCGUGGGAGGUACGGUCGCGAGAUAAACUACAAGAAGUAGUAGCGUGAGAGAGCGACGACGACGACGACGGAGGAGGAGG